CCGUUUACCGCACCCGCUGAGGGUCUGCUCCUGCCGCUGGGCCUUCCGCAGGGGCCGAGUUCUCCCGGUCAGACCCCUUUCCCCAGAGCCUGUCCAGCGCCGCUCCCGCUGUGCCGGGUCGGUGGGUGAGACACGAGGGGACUGGGUCCCGGUGCUCCCAGGUCCGUGUGAGGCCCGUCCCUGCCGAGCGCGGCACCGCGCUGCUGCCAGGAGCCCCAUCCUGGGCCGGGAGUGGGAAGGAGGUGUGGGCUUGGCAGGACAGACCCGUAAAGGGCACAUGGAAUCGCGGCAGGAGCCCGGCAGCUGCGGCGGAGCCCAGUAGGGUGGACAUGCUGCUGGGCCACGCAGAUGACAAACAUCCAGCCCUUUUGCAAGCCUGAGCCUUGGAAAGGCAGAUGGGCAUUGCGGUGAGCACCACGCAAACCUUGAUGAGAACGUGCUGACAGGAGUGAAAAGAGUGUAAAAGUAAUAAACAUUGCUGCUGUUGGAAACACUUUCGGUUUUGAGAAGAGUGUUUCCCAAAGGUGAUCAAAGCCUGCAUUCCUUUGUCCCCUUUUUGAGCAGCAUGCUCCAGCUUGAAUCCCUGCCUCAAGUGUGUGGACCUCUUUCAUGCUUUUUCCUGGUCUCUGGGAUCAGCACUAUCUCACAGAAUUAGAAAUAAGAUGAGAAGGCACCUUGGUAUGUUUUUUGGAAAGGGUCAAGUAGGACAGGGGUGGUGGUAGGGAGGUUUUCUCUUCCACAGAUCAGGAGCAUCUCCUGGGGGAGAAGGACAUACCCUCUCCCAGGAGCUUGCUGCCUAUGGCAGACUCCACUGAGCGCUCCACCCUGUUCCUUUCCACUACAAGGUCUCAUAUGAAGCCUCAGGCCCUUCUCACAGUGUCAGUUACGGUGUCCCAGCUGCACAGCCUAAUUGGAAAUCAAGUGGCAGCAGCUUUCCGAGUGGCUCCUGCUUGGGUCACACAUACUCGCUUUACUGAUCAUUUGGAACAGCUCAUGCAGACGUAGCCACCAGCACAGGACGGACACAUAUUUAUGUCGGCAGUCAUAAAAAUCUGUUGGUAAAGCAGUAUGUGAGAAUAGCAUAGGAAGAGCGAGGUGCUUGCUUCUCAGAAAUCAAGAGGAAGUUACGAAUGUCUUUGUGUUCUUGUUGAGUGACUGGCCAGGACCAGGUUGAUACGGUACCAGAGAAAAGAGCAUCAAGUUCUUCUGCAGGUGCUCUGCCUUCUGCCUUGUGCCUCCUGGUCUUGCCUGCAUGCCUCUCUCUGUCUUCUUGAGGCACUUCUGGGAUAGCUUCCCAGCAUGUUCCUUGUCUUCCUUCUGCUCUGCAGUGAUGAAGUGACUGGAGACCUUGAGAGUGUGAUAAAGUGACCAGAACAGGGGGGUUAUUUCUGCAUCUUCAAAACUAUGAUCCUGUGUUUUGACUCACUGUCAGAAAGGUGCUAAUUUAAGCUCCAUAUGAGAAAGUUGAUUUUUUAAGGCAGUUCUAGUGCCUUCCAUUUACUCCAAGAUCUAAUAAAUUUCACUCACGUUCCCAUGGAAUAUUGCUGGAACACUUGUGGAGAGAGCUAAAAUAAAGCAAAGCCAGCAGUAUCUGGUAGAACAAAGCUCACCAGAAUUUGCUAGCUGUGUCAGGAAGCAAGAUGGAUGAUGCUGAAACCAGCGUGCUUUGCCCUGGGUGCAUGAAGGCAGUUGGCUACCCAGUCUGCUGGGAACACUGGCUAAACACAGGUCCUCCCAGGCUGGAGGUUCUUCCUCAAGAUGGAUAACCUUAUCUAGCAUGGAAAGUUUUUGUAGUUCUUCUCUGGUCAGUUAUCCAAACAGGACAAAAUUGAGCUGAUGUCAAAACAAAGAAUACACUGGGCUGUGAUAAAAGCUGCUCUUCUGCACAACUUCCUAGCUUGCAAAACCUGCCUGGUUUUGCAUAAUAAAUAAGCCCCAGGAAGUAUAAAGUUAGUGGGAGUGCUUGUAGUGUGGCCAAGGUACAGUUUUACAGUCGUUUAAAGGUCAGCAGCAAAUUGACAUAUACACCCAGUCCUGCAGGAUAAGGCUCUGUGGGGACAAACCUCUCAGGUGAAUGUCUGCAUGAUUUGCCUCUGGCCAUAUGGAAAAUGUGAGGCCUAAGAAGGGGCUGAGAUCCCACCGGGUCACUUGCAAGCCAGGGCCAGAGUUACCAAAUCAACCUUUCUCAGCAUUUAUUAGGGCAGGCUUUGAAACUUACGUGCUGAGGAAAGCUUUUUGAUGCAAAAACUCCAGACCCAUGGCCUCACAGGGCAGAAAAACUGUCACCAGAGCUGGUUACAGCUCACGCCUGCAAAUGCAAAAAAGUUGUAUGGAGACAACAGUGCACAGGGAGACUUGCUAGGCCAUGGAUUAAGAUGCCAAGUUUCGGGGAAGAUGGUUUGCACAAGGAAAGCUCAGAACUCAAAAGCAGAGAUUGGGUGCUCUUCUAAGGACAACAGGUGGAGGGAUGAGAUUUGGGGAAAAAACCUAAACCCCCAAAACCUACUGUAGGAAAGGUUCCACCUCUGUGAAAAGAAGAAGGAAGGAGGGUAAUAAAAGAAGUGUGAA
This is a long non-coding RNA of Pezoporus flaviventris, 2568 nucleotides long. RefSeq lists it as uncharacterized. The transcript has 6 exons. The record is from RefSeq and is a predicted model, not a curated record. Lineage: Eukaryota; Metazoa; Chordata; Aves; Psittaciformes; Psittacidae.